GUUAGUCACUCAUGUGAGAAGUUUGCAGUAAACACUUUAUUUCACAAUCUCCAUUCCUUUCAGCACAGCUAUUCCUAACUGGAAAUGAUUCACCCACCAAGAAUCAGAGUCCAUGCUUUUAUAUAAAAGACAUGUCUUUUAGAAUAGUGAUCUGGUUUAUGCAGAGGGCACGCGUCUUUGUGACCACCAACAAAUGGUGACUGAGUCACUCCUUUCAUAAUAUGAGUCGCCCUGAC
Molecule: non-coding RNA, 236 nt
Organism: Pelobates cultripes (western spadefoot toad)
Lineage: Eukaryota; Metazoa; Chordata; Amphibia; Anura; Pelobatidae
Source: the annotation of a GenBank genome assembly